GAUGAACGCUAGCGGGAGGCUUAAUACAUGCAAGUCGCACGGCAGCAUUAUUGUAGUGAUAUAAUAGGUGGCGAGUGGCGCACGGGUGAGUAACGCGUACACAACCUACCCUUAAGAGGGGGAUAACUCAGAGAAAUUUGGGAUAAUACCGCAUAAGAUCUUAAGAUUGCAUGAUUUAGAGAUUAAAGUUAAGGCGCUUAAGGAUGGGUGUGCGUUAGAUUAGGUAGUUGGUAGGGUAACGGCCUACCAAGCCGACGAUCUAUAAGGGGCGUGAGAGCGUGAUCCCUCACACGGGUACUGAGACACGGACCCGACUCCUACGGGAGGCAGCAGUAAGGAAUAUUGGACAAAUGCCCGCAAGGGUGAUCCAGCCAUUCCGCGUGCA
RNAcentral lists this ribosomal RNA (385 nucleotides) under uncultured bacterium. RNAcentral's name for it is "bacterial SSU rRNA". It matches the Rfam family "Bacterial small subunit ribosomal RNA", at positions 28 to 405 of the family's 1533-position model. The record is from RNAcentral.